CGGUAUCCUGGGUGAAGGGGGUACCGCCGUGGCGUUCCUGGCGCUGUCAGCUCCGGCCCUCGCUCUGAUCGGGGGGCUGGCGG
Molecule: transfer RNA, 83 nt
Filed under: Geobacter sp. AOG1
Lineage: Bacteria; Pseudomonadati; Thermodesulfobacteriota; Desulfuromonadia; Geobacterales; Geobacteraceae
Description: tRNA-Arg
Source: RNAcentral